GAUCAUGGCUCAGGAUGAACGCUGGCGGCGUGCCUAAUACAUGCAAGUAGAACGCUGAAGCUUGGUGCUUGCACCGAGCGGAUGAGUUGCGAACGGGUGAGUAACGCGUAGGUAACCUGCCUCUUAGCGGGGGGAUAACUAUUGGAAAACGAUAGCUAAUACCGCAUAAAAGUCGACAUUGCAUGAUGUUGACUUGAAAGGUGCAAUUGCAUCACUAAGAGAUGG
RNAcentral lists this ribosomal RNA (225 nucleotides) under uncultured bacterium. RNAcentral describes it as "partial 16S ribosomal RNA". It matches the Rfam family "Bacterial small subunit ribosomal RNA", at positions 15 to 228 of the family's 1533-position model. The record is from RNAcentral.